RNAcentral lists this ribosomal RNA (326 nucleotides) under uncultured eukaryote. RNAcentral describes it as "partial 18S ribosomal RNA". It matches the Rfam family "Eukaryotic small subunit ribosomal RNA", at positions 1470 to 1796 of the family's 1831-position model. The record is from RNAcentral.
CCCUUAGAUGUUCUGGGCCGCACACGCGCUACACUGAAGGAGGCAGCGUGUACUCCUGGAUCGAAAGAUUUGGGUAACCCGCGAAUCUCCUUCGUGCUAGGGAUUGAGGUUUGCAAUUAUCCUUCAUGAACGAGGAAUUCCCAGUAAGUGCAAGUCAUAAGCUUGCGCUGACUACGUCCUGCCCUUUGUACACACCGCCCGUCGCUACUACCGAUUGAAUGAUUUAGUGAGGACUUCGGACUGGGACCGAUGCGGCUUUCGGGCUGCGUCGGUAUUCUGGAAAGAUGUCCAAACUGUAUCAUUUAGAGGAAGUAAAAGUCGUAACA